GAAACAUGGAUAUGAUGGAAGUUCUUUUCAGAAGCAUUACAUCAACCAGAAUUGUGGGAAUUUGAAGAAUGGGUUUGAAUGUAAAGCUCAUGAUUGCGGAGAAGAACAAGUUUCACGGAAAUGCGUUGUCUCUAUCAUACAAGAAGACCGCCAUUACUGCAAUCAAGGAGAAGUUCAGUUCAGAGCAGUUGGAAAGGUUUAAGGGUAGUUGUUUUGGUCAUCUACUACUCAUUGAGGACCUAAAGUGGACUCCACAAAUUGUCCAUGGGCUGUUGCCAAGAAAGGUUGAUCCGAAGACAGUUAAAACCGUGAAAGGUAUUGCAUUCUUGGUUGGUAAUAAGUUGAUACAAUUCACGAAGCAACAGUUUUGCCUCAUCAAGGGGCUAAGGUUUGGAAACCUCCCAUUGAUUCAGAAUCCCACUAAUGAAAACUGCGCUUUGAAGAAUAAAUACUUCCGGGAGAAUAAAACUGUGAGCCUUUAGGAACUCGAAAAAGCAUUCAAGGCUUGCACUGAUAAGGAGGAUUUAGUGAAGCUUGGUUUUGUGUAUUUUGUUGUAUUUGUAUUGUUGGGUACCGCUAAAAAUGUCAACAUGGACAUGAGGUAUUUGAAGUUGGUGGAAGAUCUUGAUGCGUUUGAGAAGUAUCCUUGGGACGCUGUGUCAUAUGCAAAGACACAUGAGUCACUUUCGAGGGCACGUUAUGCGGAUUACCAUCGAGUUAAAGUACCCCAAGAAACUCAAAAGAAAGCAGAGACAACGACGAGUGGUAUGAUUAGUGAGUAUCAUAUUAAAGGGUUUGGAUUUGCUUUUUAGAUAUGGGCUUUUGAAGUGUUCCCAGCUUUGACUCAACUGCAUUAUGUUGUGCAUGAAGAAAAUGCCCUCCACCCACGCAUCUUACAUUGGAGGAGCAAUAAGUUGGCAGGUUAUAACAAGCUAAUGUCUCAUGUAUACGAAAACAUUGAGUUGAUGUGAAGUUCAUCCGUCCCAAUCAAAUUGAGAAACAAAAAGCAUAUUGGAUUUGGGGUGACGAUGAAGAGGAUGAAGAAAAUGUUGAAGUGUAUGACGACACAAAGUCCCUUGGUCAUGGUGGUGACGAUCAUGGUGAGGGUGUUGAGGAUAGGCAAGAAAAUACAACCAUUGGAAUAGAAGAAGAGACUCUGGAAGUUCAGGAAACAUCUAGCCUUCCAUCGUCUUCGAAUGGCAAUGGUAAACUCUCUUUGACUUACUGUUUUGAUUUGAAAAAGGAGUUACCAAGUACAAAGGAUGAGUUGCAAAGGGUAGCUGCUUCAAAUCGGGCGCUUAAGAAGAGAGUGUGUGACUUGGAAGGGAGGGUAAAGAGUUAGUCUUUGAAAAAUAAGAAGGCUAUUGUGGGUUUCAACAAGAUCGUUGCUUUGAUGGAACAUCAUUUUAUGUCGGUGAUGGAGGAGUUGAAAAAAGCUUAUGGUGCGUUGAAUCGACCUGCUGAAGGUCAUGAAGAACUACAUACUCUUCAAAACAAGGAAGAAAUGAAUGACGUGGCCCCCUCACAUGAGCAUAUUACUCAGACUACAGAGAUUGAAGGAGGUGAUGCAUCAAGGCAGGAGCCUAGAACCAUUGUUGCGAAGGCGGGUGUUGACAUAACUGAACCAAUGCUUUCGACUAUGAAGGGUACUAGUCCUAGCACAGAGAUUAAAGGACCCGAUGUUGCAUCAAACCCUGCUAAGAAUGCUUCCCCUGGUUAUACCCCAGAUGAUGGAGCUAAUGCCUCCGCAAGCAUGAAAGUCCAAGGGGCUGAAAUGGAAACAAAAAAUCAUGAGAAAGAAGUUGAGCAAGAAGCAGAGAUUCUGCCUACGCUUGAAGAUUUCUGGGGGUGCAAAGUCCUUUGCAAAAAAAAUUUAAAGUUGCUAAAGGGUUGGCAAAAGGAACCCGGAAUGGCGUUGGUUACAAUUCCGAUGAGGCCUCCAAUCGGAAGCGAUGCUACUGUGGCUGGUGAUAAAGUGAAUGCGGAAGGUAGUGUCACAGUUGAAAAACAAGACGCAGAAGGUGUUAGGAUUUUGGCUCGUCAAAUAUGUCCUAGUUGGUUUAAGAUUGUUUUAGGAAAAUUAUAGGUAUACCAAUUAUUGUCCUAGAGGGAUUAGGAAAGAAUUUCAGUUUUCCUUAUUCAAUUUAGGUCUGGAUUUCUAGAAGUCUAUUAGGAUUUGGAUAAGUGUAAUUUCCUAAUCCACUUAGGAAUAGGAAUUCAAUCAGCCUUGGGACAUGUAAGCCAACUCUAUAUCUAUAAAUAGGGUGUGCCAGGGCUUAUUUUACAGCAGGAAAAACAGCCAGAGACAGCCGAGAGUUUUGAGAUUAGUUCUAGGGUUGCAAAAGUUCUGUAAUCUCUAUUAUUAAUCAAAGGAGUGAUGAUUUCUCUACCUAGAGAAAUCACAACUGGACGUAGGCAAAAGUUCUGCCGAACCAGUA
Non-coding RNA from Prunus mume (Japanese apricot), 2438 nucleotides. NCBI's taxonomy places the organism in Eukaryota, Viridiplantae, Streptophyta, Magnoliopsida, Rosales, Rosaceae. The record is from RefSeq and is a predicted model, not a curated record.